GGACUACUGGGGUUUCUAAUCCCGUUUGCUACCCUAGCUUUCGCACCUCAGUGUCAGAUCAGGUCCAGUGAGCCGCUUUCGCCACCGGUGUUCCUCCAGAUAUCUACGCAUUUCACCGCUCCACCUGGAGUUCCGCUCACCCCUACCCGCCUCGAGUCCGCCAGUAUCACGCGCAAUUCCCCGGUUGAGCCGGGGGAUUUCACACGUGACUUAGCGCACCACCUACGUGCUCUUUAUGCCCAGUAAUUCCGAACAACGUUUGCACCCUCUGUCUUACCGCGGCUGCUGGCAC
This 292-nucleotide ribosomal RNA is filed under the name uncultured bacterium. RNAcentral describes it as "partial 16S ribosomal RNA". The record is from RNAcentral.